CUACUUGUCAUAAAUUGAUGCUAAUCUUCCCAUAGUACAGAGGAAGACAAGUAAAUUUUAUAUUACUAUUUGAAGAACAGAGUUUCUAAUCAUUUUCCUGCUGCAUGGAAACAUUUGCUACUGUUGGACAUAUUACCUCUAAUAGCAGACCCUAUUCUACUGCCUCAGCUCCACUGGAGUCUCACUGAGCCUACUCUGGCUUUGGAGGUGCCAAGUCACCAAGAGAGAUUCUCAGAGGCCCAUUGCAUCUAUUUCUCUCUUGCAUCAACUGGGCAUCAUGAUUAUCAAGUCUGCCGUGAUGUCUAUCUACAUUUGGGCAAGAAUACAAAUGAAGGUUCACCUGAAAGUUAUGAAGGAGGCUAAGAAAUUGUUACAUAAUACGUAAUAUAAUUUUCUACCAUGUAAAAUAUAACUCUAUAAAAACAGA
Long non-coding RNA from Homo sapiens (human), 427 nucleotides. RefSeq annotates it as long independently transcribed non-coding RNA 2445. NCBI's taxonomy places the organism in Eukaryota, Metazoa, Chordata, Mammalia, Primates, Hominidae. The record is from RefSeq and is a predicted model, not a curated record. The transcript is spliced from 4 exons.